Molecule: non-coding RNA, 69 nt
Organism: Podarcis lilfordi (Lilford's wall lizard)
Lineage: Eukaryota; Metazoa; Chordata; Lepidosauria; Squamata; Lacertidae
Source: the annotation of a GenBank genome assembly
GCCGUGGCUCAGUGGCAGGGCACCUGCUUUGCAUGUAGGAGGUUAUGGGUUCAAUCCCCAGCAUCUCCA